GUAUAUUUUUAUUUAAACCUGCCAGUUUUUUUUCCUUUAAAUUCAUUGCCCUCCUCACUUAGUGCAUAAUUUCUUUGUGACUCUCUCCCUCCUCUUCUUCAGUGCUUGUGUGAUUGCAAUUCCUUUAAUGUCAGUUUAAUAUUGCAUGGCAUCCAUUUUUAUUUCAUUAAGAAUAACCAUGGUUUUAAGCAGUCUCUGUGUUAUAAAUCACAGUCAGAUUGUCACAGAUGCUGAGAUUCCUCAUCUUUCAAUGCCCUGGUUUUGAAAAUCUUUUAAAUGCCUAAAUGGUUUGCUUAGAGUGUAAAUCUGUUCCCCAGAGGAGAUUCUUAAUAUUGAGCAUUCCCAUUAGUUGCUGUUUCAAGGCCAGCUUUAAUGAACAUAAAAAUGUUCCUUUCACAGAUGUUUUAAAAAGAAUCUCCACAGCAAUAUGAAAGCUUUUUUUGAACGUUUCAGAAAACAAGAAAGUAGCCAUGGACUGAAAUACUUUAACCAUAUUGUUUUUUUCUCCAGGAAAUGCAGCCAUUCCGUGUGCAACUUUGUAGUUGGGAGCCCAUUUACAGUAAUGGCUUCAGCUAGUCCUAAUGAUCAGCUGGAAACAGCUGAGGAAGCUUCAGAAGUGCACUGCUCAUGUGCUGCUGACACAGCAUAGGUGGAUUUGUGAGAAGGGAAGUGGAGAAGGGAGGACAAUCCCUGUGUGAGAACCACCUUCAGAACAAAAGCUGAAACUUCAAAGCAGGUGAAAAAACCUCUGUAACACUUCUAAAAUGUUAUAAUAAACGAAGGGAAAAUAACAUGCCCAUUUACAUUUCUUUGUUCUUAUUUAUGGUUUCACUUAAUGUCAGGAGAUUGCCAAAGUUUCAGCAUCAGCACCAGCUUCAACAAGAUUUAGAAAAAAAAAAAAAAGAUCACUUUGUGUUUUGCAAAUUACCUAUAUUCAUGUGCAAGUUACAUAAGAAGGUGUUGAUAGGAACAAUUGGGAGCUAUUUUUAAAUAAACUUGCUGGAUAGAGGUACAUUUCCAAACUUGGAGAACAGAUUCCCAAAAUCUAUUCUGUUGCUGCAUACAUCGGCACUGUUCAUUUGUGUCUUGUGCAGCCCUCAGUUAAUGUGGUGUAAAAUGAAAGUGUGUGUGGUGUUUUUCUUUCCCUUUGACAUCACAUUUGUUAAUGUAAUAGGGGUUUAUAAUUAUUUGCAAUAGCUUUUAUCAGAAGAACUCAGCAAAGUAUGUAG
RNAcentral lists this long non-coding RNA (1229 nucleotides) under Meleagris gallopavo (turkey). Its description in RNAcentral is "lncRNA (ENSMGAG00000021811.1)". The record is from RNAcentral. Lineage: Eukaryota; Metazoa; Chordata; Aves; Galliformes; Phasianidae.